Molecule: unclassified non-coding RNA, 314 nt
Filed under: plant metagenome
Description: partial contains 5.8S ribosomal RNA, internal transcribed spacer 2, and large subunit ribosomal RNA
Rfam family: 5.8S ribosomal RNA (bases 1-105)
Source: RNAcentral
GUAAUGCGAUAAUUAAUGUGAAUUGCAGAAUUCAGUGAAUCAUCGAGUCUUUGAACGCACAUUGCGCCCCCUGGUAUUCCGGGGGGCAUGCCUGUCCGAGCGUCAUUGCUGCCCUCAAGCACGGCUUGUGUGUUGGGCUUCCGUCCCUGGCAACGGGGACGGGCCCAAAAGGCAGUGGCGGCACCAUGUCUGGUCCUCGAGCGUAUGGGGCUUUGUCACCCGCUCCCGUAGGUCCAGCUGGCAGCUAGCCUCGCAACCAAUCUUUUUAACCAGGUUGACCUCGGAUCAGGUAGGGAUACCCGCUGAACUUAAGC